GGCCAGACUCCUACGGGAGGCAGCAGUGAGGAAUAUUGGUCAAUGGACGCAAGUCUGAACCAGCCAUGCCGCGUGCAGGAUGACGGCUCUAUGAGUUGUAAACUGCUUUUGUACGAGGGUAAACCCCGAUACGUGUAUCGGGUUGAAAGUAUCGUACGAAUAAGGAUCGGCUAACUCCGUGCCAGCAGCCGCGGUAAUACGGAGGAUCCGAGCGUUAUCCGGAUUUAUUGGGUUUAAAGGGUGCGUAGGCGGAUCGUUAAGUCAGUGGUAAAAUGGGGGGGCUCACCCCCUUCCCGCCAUUGAAACUGGCGAUCUUGAGUGGAAGAGAAGUAUGCGGAAUGCGUGGUGUAGCGGUGAAAUGCAUAGAUAUCACGCAGAACCCCGAUUGCGAAGGCAGCAUGCCGGCUUCCGACUGACGCUGAAGCACGAAAGCGUGGGGAUCGAACAGGAUUAGAUACCCGAGUACC
RNAcentral lists this ribosomal RNA (467 nucleotides) under uncultured bacterium. RNAcentral's name for it is "bacterial SSU rRNA". It matches the Rfam family "Bacterial small subunit ribosomal RNA", at positions 329 to 796 of the family's 1533-position model. The record is from RNAcentral.